This is a long non-coding RNA of Eucalyptus grandis, 1294 nucleotides long. RefSeq lists it as uncharacterized. The transcript is spliced from 2 exons. The record is from RefSeq and is a predicted model, not a curated record. Lineage: Eukaryota; Viridiplantae; Streptophyta; Magnoliopsida; Myrtales; Myrtaceae.
UUCUAGCCCUUGCCCGAUUCACUUCCUCGUUCGAUCUUUCGCUGUGUCGUGUCGUCCUUCUUUGAUCAUUGGAGCCAGUAUCUGUAGUUGCGGAUUGAAGCUAUGUACUCCUCGAACGCAUCUGAUGGCUACCCACAGAAGCCCAGCGCCUCCGCUCCGCCACCGCCGCCGCCCGUGGAUGGCAUUCCGGUGCAACCCAUGAUCCAAAGUUAUGUGAAUUUUGGGGCCCCGAACAAUCCUCUGCCCACUGCGGGUCUUCAAGCUCGACCCAUUAACAGCAUGCCUUGGUCCUCCGGGCUUUUCAGUUGCUUCGACGACGUUCCAACUUGUUGCUUGUCAUUUUGGUGCCCUUGAAUCACAUUUGGGUGAAUCGCGGAGAUUGCUGAUCACAGAUCGGUUUGCAAGUAGAAUCAAUUGCGUUCGCACAAAUUGAAGAAGGAUCGACAUAAGUAGACUUGCUUACUCAGGUCGGUUUUUGUUGCAGCAUAACCUGUUCACGGAGCUAUUUACACGGUGAUCGCCUUGUUGACCGGGUGCGCCUGCUGCUACUCCUGCUUCUACCGCACCAAGACGAGACAGCAAUACCAGUUGCAAGAGGAUCCUUGCGCUGAUUGCUUAGUCCAUUUUUGCUGCGAAUCCUGCGCUUUAACCCAGGAGUACACGAGGUAAGAGAAUUAUAUUAUUGGUAGAUGUUGCCCUUAAUCAGCGACAGGACUCUAGCGCCUCAUGCUGCUUUCCACCUUUGGAGCCAUUGCCACUUCUCUAUGUUGGCUGGCAUUUCCUUCCCAUCCUACACACCAAUCCAACCAUUUUAAGUCAGUACUUAAUCGACACUUAGAAGACUAGUAUGUACACUACUUUGAAAGCUAGCCGACACAAAGAUAUUGGAGAGGAAUUGGUGUUUACCCUUCUCCAUGUUGAGUCCGCGGCUCUUGAGCUCUCAGUACCCUUGACAAAGUGCGCAGUGCAUGCGGCAGCAGUGGACUAAGCAGUCAUCCCACGGAUCUUCCUUAACCCGAAUUCUCAUCUCAGUUUGGUUCGGUAGGUGAAUGCCCAGAGGCAUGCGCACAGAGUCAGACAGUAGAUCAGCAUGAAGAUUGCACAGUUAGCGCAGCAAGCUGCAAUCCAAGCUUGGAUAAGUAAGUGAGAAAUUUAUAAUUAGCCUUUGUCUGGUCUUUGGUAAUCAAUUAGCCUUUCUCACGGGGAAAAUCAAUCUCCUAUAAUUUCUGAAUAAGUUGUCAAAUCGGGAUAAGUUCAUAAAAGUUGACAUCACAUGUCCAAUGUUCAACUCUAA